AUUGAACGCUGGCGGCAGGCCUAACACAUGCAAGUCGAGCGGAUGAAGGGAGCUUGCUCCUGGAUUCAGCGGCGGACGGGUGAGUAAUGCCUAGGAAUCUGCCUGGUAGUGGGGGAUAACGUCCGGAAACGGGCGCUAAUACCGCAUACGUCCUGAGGGAGAAAGUGGGGGAUCUUGGGACCUCCCGCUAUCGGAUGAGCCUAGGUCGGAUUAGCUAGUUGGUGGGGUAAAGGCCUACCAAGGCGACGAUCCGUAACUGGUCUGAGAGGAUGAUCAGUCACACUGGAACUGAGACACGGUCCAGACUCCUACGGGAGGCAGCAGUGGGGAAUAUUGGACAAUGGGCGAAAGCCUGAUCCAGCCAUGCCGCGUGUGUGAAGAAGGUCUUCGGAUUGUAAAGCACUUUAAGUUGGGAGGAAGGGCAGUAAGUUAAUACCUUGCUGUUUUGACGUUACCAACAGAAUAAGCACCGGCUAACUUCGUG
RNAcentral lists this ribosomal RNA (484 nucleotides) under uncultured bacterium. RNAcentral's name for it is "partial 16S ribosomal RNA". It matches the Rfam family "Bacterial small subunit ribosomal RNA", at positions 30 to 507 of the family's 1533-position model. The record is from RNAcentral.